UACGUAGGGGGCAAGCGUUGUUCGGAUUCACUGGGCGUAAAGGGUGCGUAGGUGGUGAGGUAAGUCGGAUGUGAAAUCUCCGAGCUCAACUCGGAAAUGGCAUUGGAAACUACCUUGCUCGAGGGUUGGAGGGGGGACUGGAAUGCUUGGUGUAGCAGUGAAAUGCGUAGAUAUCAAGCGGAACACCAGUGGCGAAGGCGAGUCCCUGGACAACUCCUGACACUGAGGCACGAAAGCUAGGGGAGCAAACAGG
Molecule: ribosomal RNA, 253 nt
Filed under: uncultured bacterium
Lineage: Bacteria
Description: partial 16S ribosomal RNA
Rfam family: Bacterial small subunit ribosomal RNA
Source: RNAcentral